Molecule: ribosomal RNA, 253 nt
Filed under: uncultured bacterium
Lineage: Bacteria
Description: partial 16S ribosomal RNA
Rfam family: Bacterial small subunit ribosomal RNA
Source: RNAcentral
UACGUAGGGUGCGAGCGUUAAUCGGAAUUACUGGGCGUAAAGCGUGCGCAGGCGGUUUUGUAAGCCAGAUGUGAAAUCCCCGGGCUCAACCUGGGAAUGGCAUUUGGGACUGCAAGGCUUGAGUGCGGCAGAGGAGACUGGAAUUCCUGGUGUAGCAGUGAAAUGCGCAGAUAUCAGGAGGAACACCGGUGGCGAAGGCGGGACUCUGGGCCGAUACUGACGCUGAGGAGCGAAAGCGUGGGGAGCAAACAGG